UUCUAGGUAAAAUAAUGAUGAUGACAAUUUUUACCUAUAUGUCUUGACCAAAUCUCGUGCCAGCAGUCGCGGUAAUACGUGGAAGACUAGUGUUAUUCAUCUUUAAUAGGUUUAAAGGGUACCUAGACGGUAAAUUUAGCCCAAAAAGGGUACGGAUUUACUAGAGUKUUAUGUGAGGAGGGGAGUACUUGUAGAGUAGAGAUGAAAUUUUUUGAUACUAUAAGGAAACUGGUAACGGCGAAAGCAACCUUCUAUGUAUAAACUGACGUUGAGGGACGAAGGCUUGGGUAGCAAACAGGAUUAGAUACCCUAGUAGUCCAAGCAGACAAUUCUGAAUGUCAUAGAUUAGAUUUUUUUGGUCUAUAAAUGAUAGAUUAGAUUUUUUUUGGUCUAUAAAUGAAAGUGCAAGCAUUCCACCUUAAGAGUAAUGUGGCAACACAGGAAUUGAAAUCAUUAGACCGUUUCUGAAACCAGUAGUGAAGUAUGUUGUUUAAUUCGAUAAUCCACGAAAAACCUUACCACAACUUGAAUAUUAUUAAUUUAAUACAAGCGUUGCACGGCUGUCUUCAGUUAAUGUCGUGAGAUUUUGGUUAACUCCAUUAAAUUAACGUA
Molecule: ribosomal RNA, 612 nt
Filed under: Trimmatothelopsis sp. JSP-2020a
Lineage: Eukaryota; Fungi; Ascomycota; Lecanoromycetes; Acarosporales; Acarosporaceae
Description: SSU rRNA
Source: RNAcentral